Molecule: long non-coding RNA, 546 nt
Organism: Labeo rohita (rohu)
Lineage: Eukaryota; Metazoa; Chordata; Actinopteri; Cypriniformes; Cyprinidae
Exons: 5
Source: RefSeq, a predicted model, not a curated record
CGCAAAGAAGACUUCAUAUAAAAUGCGUGGCACAACGCUAGUCCUUUCUUUUUGUUCAGCUAAGAUUUGCUGCAAGGCAACAUGUCCUCUUCAGAAAGUUGCUUUAUGUUUCUAAGCAUGUUAUCCAGUCUGCCACGUAAUGGGAGUGCUAAAGCACGUGGCUUCGGAUGACUUGCGCCAUAAGCGUUUGUACGUGUUGAACAUCUGCGUUUGAUGCAUCGGUUAUAAAUCGCAAUUAACGCGAUGAAGCGUUAAGUUGGUGCUUUCACCUAUGGGAAGAAUGGAGUCCCCAGCUGCAAAAAUGUUGUGGAUAAGAGAUGUAAGAAGACCAAGAAGUCCAUUUGAUGAAGAGUUUAAUUGGUGAUGUAAGAAGACCAAGAAGUCCAGUUGGUGGCAUGUUUGUUAUGGGGCUCUUCUGCACUAAUGUUCAAAUGCAAUUUUGAAACUCUUAAAAUAGUGUUACAAUAUGUAUGCACUUCUGUUUGGAUAUUUGGAUGAUUGUGUUUUUUCAAUAAAAAAUGUGAACUGAAUAAUAAAUUGUUGUGU